GACGAACGCUGGCGGCGUGCCUAAUACAUGCAAGUAGGACGCAGUUGCGAACGGGUGAGUAACGCGUAGGUAACUACCUAUUAGAGGGGGAUAACUAUUGGAAACGAUAGCUAAUACCGCAUACUAGUAGAUGGACCUGCGUUGUAUUAGCUAGUAGGUAGGGUAAUGGCCUACCUAGGCAACGAUGCAUAGCCGACCUGGGCGGGGUAGCGGGCACACUGGGAAUUGGAAAACGCCCAGACUCCUAAGGGGGGCAGCAGUAGGGAAUCUGCGGCAAUGGGGUGAACCCUGACCGAGCAACGCCGCGGGAGUGAAGAAGGGUUUCGGAUCGUAAAGCUCGGUUGUUAAGGAAGCGGUACUUAACCAGAAAGGGACGGCUAACUACGUGCCAGCAGCCGCGGUAAUUC
RNAcentral lists this ribosomal RNA (407 nucleotides) under uncultured bacterium. RNAcentral describes it as "partial 16S ribosomal RNA". It matches the Rfam family "Bacterial small subunit ribosomal RNA", at positions 28 to 526 of the family's 1533-position model. The record is from RNAcentral.